RNAcentral lists this long non-coding RNA (3451 nucleotides) under Equus caballus (horse). Its description in RNAcentral is "lncRNA (ENSECAG00000042668.2)". Lineage: Eukaryota; Metazoa; Chordata; Mammalia; Perissodactyla; Equidae. The record is from RNAcentral.
GUCUGCAUCUCCAUUUCUAGAUCAGUGCUUUCCAGACUGCGCUGUGCAUGAGAAUCGCCUGGGGAUCUUGUUAAAAUGCAGAUGCGCUUCGGCCAGGCAGGGCUGGAACCUGAGAUUCUGCAUUUCUAACAAGCUCCCGGGGGAGGCCGAUGCUGCUGCCAAGAGUCUGGAGGUGCGGGGAGUAGGCGCUGACCUUUCUCAGACCCAGGGAUUCCAGGUUCUGGGAAGGGCACAAGCUGGGGGUGAGGAGAGAGGGAGGGAAAAAAGGGUCUAAUCUCAGUUCACCUGUCACCCUGUGCUUAGGAGAGCCGCAGGGCAGUUCUCUCAUGGGACACUCAGCUGUUCCAGCUGCCCCUGAGGGAGUGGUACGCGGGGGAGUAUCUUACUCCCCUCAUAGGAUCUCAAACCUGAUGUUUGAGGAUCUUUGGGUACCAUUUCGGAUAAGCAGAGUGAGGCCAGGGAGGAGAAAGAGCUCAGCAAGAUCAGUGAGUGAGUCAACAGAACCAGGUCUGGACAUCAUGGCUCCUCACUCAUUCCUUCACACAGAGAGCAUUGAUUAAACACCUACUGUGGGGCAGCCCCUGAGCAUGGUUAAGAGCCACGGCGCUCUAGGAGUUCAUUGGCUGGUGGAGAAGAUGGAAACAGACACAAAAUGGCGGACGGUGAGGCUGGGGGUCUGGUCAGGAAACCACUGCAGAACUGAAGAGAAGAUGAUACAGCUGGAAUCGGGGCAGUGACGGGGCAAGGAGGACAGGAGGGCAGCUGUGAGAGCUGUUUAGGAGGUGUCUACUUCCUGCCUGCCAGACAGGAAACUGCUGAGGUGAGGAGUCUGGGGGCACCCCAUCCCUACCCCGGAGGAGUUCCGUCAGGUGGAAAAGAUCAUCAAAGACCAGAGGGCGGAGAGCCCGCCACACGUUGGGUAAGAGAAGGGGAAUGGGGGAUGUUUUCUGGGCAGAGUGCAGGGCCCUCCUCCUUCUCUCACCUGGAGACAGGAGCCAGAGAAGUUAGGUGUGCCCGCUCCAGGGUGUGACUUUUCAGGGAAAAGUCAGAAUUCCAGAUAAAUUCCUUGUGCCUUGUGCCACUCAAAGGCUGGCCAGACCAGCAGCAUCAGCAUCACUUGGAAGCUGUUUGGGAAUCAGAAUCUCGGGCCCUGGUGGAUCAGACUUAUAAGAUCAGAGUUCACUAUUUAACAAGCUCCCCAGGUGACUCACACACAUGUUAGUUUGGAAAGCCCUGGUCUCCUGGGCCCUCGCUGAAACGCAGCGUCCGGGACCCACCAAGACAGGAGGGUUCUGGCUCCGUGGAAGCCCUGCCUGUCCAAGGGUUUCUAGGCUCCUUUGGGUGAGCCGGCUCAUGGCUUCUUGCUUUGCGAGGCCUGGCAGAACCUCAGUGGGCCAAAAGGUGGCUCAAGAGCGGAGUUUUCUUUCCCAAGGAGGCCCCUGACUUCUGCCUCCCUGCACCUCUGCUGGCAGCUUUCUGCCCUGCACUGCCCUCUGGUGGCCAUGGGGAGCCAUGGCCAUCGUACAUUGCUCGGUUUCUACAGCAGGGACCCCAAGACCCAGCUGAUGGUGGAAAGAGGAGGACACAUCUGUCGCUGACCUCUGACAAAAGGCUUAGGGACCCCCAAGAACACAAUGGAAGCAGUUUGAAAAACACUAGGCUUUAGCAGUGGGAUGGCCAAUGGAGGCUGCCUUUGUCCCCCCGCGAGGGGUCCUGGCUCAGCCCUUUUCCCCAUCACUACCCUUUCCUGCACACCUUGUUGGAAGCUGCUCAGAGCUGGAGGGGAGAGAAGGAGCCCUGUGCAGCAAGGACAUGCAAGGAGGAGGUCGCUGGAUUGGUUCAGAGAGGCCUGCGUGGUGGCUGCAGGGCCCCAGGUAGCAGCCAGGUGGUGGGGGGCCUGCUGGUCUGUUUUGUGUCAGGACCUCAUCCUGCAGGCCGAGGUUCCAACAGGGUAGAGACAUGACUGCAUUUGCUUUGGGAGGCGGCUCGGUGGAGGAUGGACGGGGAUUGGAACAUUGGGAACUGAAAACCCAGCGAGGGGCCUGUGCCACAGUUCAGAGAGUGUUAAGGACGUCCUGUGAGCCAGGCUUGGGGGGAGAAAGGCGGAUGGCCCUCCCACAUCCCAGAGAGGACAUGUCAGCCCAGUGACGGGAGCUGACUACAGUGUGAGCUGACUGUCUGUGUGGACAAGGAAGGUCUUGAAAGACACAGGACUUGGGGAAGGUUCUUCUAGAGACGUGACCGUAGGCCUUCCCAAAGGACCGAGAGCUCAUGUUCUUGACCACGUGGGUGGAGCAGGCUGACUCCCUGCCCCGCAGGGCCUGGUUCAGCUGACCAUUCCCUGAGGCUCCAUCACCUGCCAGGUCCAUAGUAACCUGGACUCACAUGUACUCGUGGAGCUGCCCUGGAACCUCUGGUUCCCCUCCUAAGCGCGGGGUUGCUGGGCACAUGGGAUGACCUCAGCAAGGCACAGGGUCCAUAGGCUGGAUGCAGGCCCCUGCCCGCCCUGGAGCCUUCUAGGCUCCACCUUGCACCCCACUCCCUGUCAGCUCCAUCUCCCCCAGAUCCAUCACAACGUGGACCCAGGCUGCAGCUGACUCACUGAGCCUUCAGGAGCCAGGCCCCUCCCCUCACAGACCUCAGUUUCACUACCCGAGGAGGCCCAGGAGUUCGGCCUAGAAAUCACCUAGUUCUGGCAGAUGCCUUUGGGCUUUGAGAACCCGAGGUCCUGCUCCUCCAGCAGAAGGGCCCGGCUGCCUGAAUCGGUCCCACACUGCAGUCAGUGGGACAUUUGUGUCUGUUGCAGAUGCUCUUGGGGUCUCCCUACCCCCUUGGCCUGCUGGGCCCACCUUCUAGCGGCCAGCGCCUGCAAGUCUGUGCCCAAGGUUCUCUCCCCGAUUGCCCGGGAGCAGAUAGGCUGAAAAUGCUGGCCAACGAAUGCCCCGGGCAGACCUCAACUGAGGGAGUGGGUGGACAAAGGCGCCAGCUCCCUCAGCUGGGGUGACUCUGAGGCAUGUGCCUGUCCCCCAAGGCCCCCAGCCAAUUGCUCCAGUUGCUCCAGUGAUGACACACCCUUUAUGGACUGCCUGCCUUCCCCCUUUCCUUGCCAUGCUCCUGCUGGUGUUUCCUGGGCUUCCCUCUCAAAUAAACUACUUGCACUCAAAUCCUUGUCUUGGGGUCUGCUUCUGGGGGAACAUAACUCAAGACAGCAUCCAGCUGAGCCACUUUAUUUUCCUGAGCUGUGGUGCAGGAUGAACAGGGCAGGGGAGUCGGGGGCAGAUCCCUGGGCUGGGCACUGGGCAGACCCUUGCUUUGCACUUGGGACCUUGGGACGAAGGAAUCAGAGUGAAGGGCUGGAGUUCAGGGGGCCUGCGGGGUGAGACUCUAGAAACGCUGGUCCUGACAUCCCCUCUGGGGCAGGCCUCCUCCAGCAGGCUGGCCUCAGGCACCC